GGAGGAGUACCCAAGUGGCUGAAGGGGACGGUUUGCUAAAUCGUUAGGUUGGAGAAAUCUGGCGCGGGAGUUCGAAUCUCCCCUCCUCCGCCA
RNAcentral lists this transfer RNA (93 nucleotides) under TM7 phylum sp. oral taxon 346. RNAcentral describes it as "tRNA-Ser". It matches the Rfam family "tRNA". From Rfam's summary of the family: Transfer RNA (tRNA) molecules are approximately 80 nucleotides in length. The record is from RNAcentral. RNAcentral also lists the same sequence under 3 other names. Lineage: Bacteria; Candidatus Saccharimonadota.